UCGAGAAUCUUCCGCAAUGUGCGCAAGCAUGACGGAGCGACGCCGCGUGGGCGAUGAAGGCCUUCGGGUUGUAAAGCCCUGUUAGCUACGAUGAAACGCGGGUGGUGAACAACUAUCCCGCUUGACGUAAGUAGCAGAGGAAGCGCCGGCUAACUACGUGCCAGCAGCCGCGGUAAUACGUAGGGUGCGAACGUUGUUCGGAAUCACUGGGCAUAAAGGGCGCGUAGGCGGUCCUGCAAGUCAAGUGUGAAAUCCCUCGGCUUAACCGAGGAACCGCACUUGAUACUGCAGGGCUAGAGUGCAGGAGGGGAGAGCGGAAUUCCUGGUGGAGCGGUGAAAUGCGUAGAUAUCAGGAGGAACGCCGGUGGCGAAAGCGACUCCCUGGUCUGCAACUGACGCUGAGGCGCGAAAGCUAGGGGAGCAAACGGGAUUAGAUACCCCGGUAGUCCUAGCCCUAAACGAUGGGUACUAAGUAGGGGGAACUCCGAUGUUCUCUCUGCCGGAGCAAAUGUAUUAAGUACCCCGCCUGGGGAGUAUGGUCGCAAGGCUA
This 550-nucleotide ribosomal RNA is filed under the name uncultured bacterium. RNAcentral's name for it is "bacterial SSU rRNA". It matches the Rfam family "Bacterial small subunit ribosomal RNA", at positions 355 to 896 of the family's 1533-position model. The record is from RNAcentral.